This 468-nucleotide ribosomal RNA is filed under the name uncultured bacterium. RNAcentral's name for it is "partial 16S ribosomal RNA". It matches the Rfam family "Bacterial small subunit ribosomal RNA", at positions 28 to 507 of the family's 1533-position model. The record is from RNAcentral.
GACGAACGCUGGCGGCGUGCUUAACACAUGCAAGUCGAACGGAAAGGCCCUGCUUUUGUGGGGUGCUCGAGUGGCGAACGGGUGAGUAACACGUGAGUAACCUGCCCUUGACUUUGGGAUAACUUCAGGAAACUGGGGCUAAUACCGGAUAGGAGCUCCUGCUGCAUGGUGGGGGUUGGAAAGUUUCGGCGGUUGGGGAUGGACUCGCGGCUUAUCAGCUUGUUGGUGGGGUAGUGGCUUACCAAGGCUUUGACGGGUAGCCGGCCUGAGAGGGUGACCGGCCACAUUGGGACUGAGAUACGGCCCAGACUCCUACGGGAGGCAGCAGUGGGGAAUAUUGCACAAUGGGCGGAAGCCUGAUGCAGCAACGCCGCGUGCGGGAUGACGGCCUUCGGGUUGUAAACCGCUUUCGCCUUGGACGAAGCGUGAGUGACGGUAAUGGGUAAAGAAGCACCGGCUAACUACGUG